Molecule: unclassified non-coding RNA, 343 nt
Filed under: Hevea brasiliensis (rubber tree)
Lineage: Eukaryota; Viridiplantae; Streptophyta; Magnoliopsida; Malpighiales; Euphorbiaceae
Source: RNAcentral
UGCCAAAUGAAGAUUUGAGGAUUCAAAUGAAUCUUCGAUAGUUCCAUUGAUCAAAAUCCAACUUCUUUAUCCUUCACUGAUUCAAUUUCUGUUUGCACGAACCAUGGCAGACGCACUGAUAGGAGGAACGUUUCUCUCUGCUUUCCUUCAGGUCUUGUUUGAUAGGAUUGCUUGUCCGGAGAUCGUUGACUUCUUCACCGGCCGGAAAUUCGAUGAUCAAUUGCUGAGCAAUUUGAAAACAACCUUGAGAUCUGUCAAUGGACUGCUCGAUGACGCAGAGGAGAAGCAGAUUUCUAAACCAGCUGUGAGAAAGUGGGUCGAUGAGCUUAAAGAUGCUGUCUAU